AUCCCUUGUUUGAUUUACUUUGUAAAGAGAUGAAGAGUUAUAUGAAGUUUUGUUGUUAUAUUUUAAAAAUGUUGAGAUGUUCUUUUGAUGAUGUGAGAAUGAUGUGGGAUUUUAUAUCCGUAUUUGAGUUUGAGUAUUCAAAUAAUUCUAGAUAAUUAUUUGAAUGAGAACGGUGAACUCGGAAGUGAAAUCUGAGUCCGUUAAGACGUUUUUGAAAUUUUUGACUUUUUGACGAUGAAUAGUAAAAUACGGCUAUUUCGUCUUUUUGUCGACUUUCAAAAUCUUACGUGCACGUCGUCGAGAAAUAUUCUUAGUUUUUCGAUACGAGUCCAAUAAUGAAAGUUUUUAUUUUUGGACGACGAGUGAAUACUAAAUCGGGAUUUCUCGAUAAACGAACCGAGCUCGUUUAUCAGAAUUUCGAGAACGAGCUUGCGUUUUCUAUAUUUAUAUAGAAUUACGAGUGUAAUGAAAGUGAGUAGAGGUUGAGAGGGCGAGUAACGAAGAGUAUGGGUUGUUAGUCGUUAAAACGAGACGAGACGAGACGAGACGAGACGAGAUAUUUAACGACUAAAUAUCUAACCCUACCCCACCAAAACCACCCCCCAACCGCCCAAGUUCAGUCAAACACUCUUAACUCACGUUGAUUUUCAGCCCACACACAACUCACACACACUAACACCUAAAACACACACACCAUUCACGCAUAUACCAUUUUUAGCUUGAGCUCAAGCUUUUGAGCUCCGAUUUGAGCACCGAGAUGAACGCCGAUCAUCUUUUCGAUCACGUAUCUAAGUAGGUCCUUUUGGGAAGUAACGACUUGAGGGAGAGAGUGACGUUACUCAUUGAUACAGAGACACAACGAGGUUGAGCUGAUGUGAUGAUGGUGCUGCAAUGAGCGGAGUCUCCAGGGUUGUUAAUAAAUAGUUAACCUGUCUAGAAUAUGUCUUCAUACAUAUGUCUAGCUACUUUCCGCUGCAAGAUGUUGUUGAUGUUAUAGUAUAUUAUGUCAUACUUUGAGUCUUAAGAGAAUGGUUUCAUACGAUGUAUAACUUUAUUAAUGAUAUUAAUUAAGUUUUAUGUUGUCUUUCAUAGACUGUUUUCAAUUGAGUAUUAAUGAAUAAAA
This is a long non-coding RNA of Salvia miltiorrhiza (redroot sage), 1123 nucleotides long. RefSeq lists it as uncharacterized. The record is from RefSeq and is a predicted model, not a curated record. Lineage: Eukaryota; Viridiplantae; Streptophyta; Magnoliopsida; Lamiales; Lamiaceae. The transcript is spliced from 3 exons.